CUGGAGGCGUGCUUACUCAUGCAAGUCGAACGAUGAAUUGGAGCUUGCUCCACGGAUUAGUGGCGAACGGGUGAGUAACACGUGAAUAACCUGCCCUCAAUUUCGGAAUAACCCAGGGAAACCUGGGCUAAUACCGGAUACGUAAACCUGUGGCAUCACAUGGUUUUGGAAAGUUUUUCGAUUGAGGAUGGAUUCGCGGCCUAUCAGCUUGUUGGUGAGGUAAUGGCUCACCAAGGCAACGACGGGUAGCCGGCCUGAGAGGGUGGACGGCCACACUGGGACUGAGACACGGCCCAGACUCCUACGGGAGGCAGCAGUGGGGAAUAUUGCGCAAUGGACGAAAGUCUGACGCAGCGACGCCUCGUGAGGGACGAAGGUCUUCGGAUUGUAAACCUCUUUCAGCAGGGACGAGCGAAAGUGACGGUACCUGCAGAAGAAGCACCGGCUAACUAUGUGCCAGCAGCCGCGGUAAUACAUAGGGUGCAAGCGUUGUCCGGAUUUAUUGGGCGUAAAGAGUUCGUAGGCGGUUUUUCGCGUCGGAUGUGAAAACUCAGGGCUCAACCCUGAGCCUGCAUUCGAUAC
Molecule: ribosomal RNA, 582 nt
Filed under: uncultured Actinomycetes bacterium
Lineage: Bacteria; Bacillati; Actinomycetota; Actinomycetes
Description: bacterial SSU rRNA
Rfam family: Bacterial small subunit ribosomal RNA
Source: RNAcentral